This 253-nucleotide ribosomal RNA is filed under the name uncultured bacterium. RNAcentral describes it as "partial 16S ribosomal RNA". It matches the Rfam family "Bacterial small subunit ribosomal RNA", at positions 524 to 776 of the family's 1533-position model. The record is from RNAcentral.
UACGUAGGGGGCAAGCGUUGUCCGGAUUUAUUGGGCGUAAAGAGCGUGUAGGCGGCUGGGUAGGUCCGUUGUGAAAACUCGAGGCUCAACCUCGAGACGCCGAUGGAAACCCUCCAGCUAGAGUCCGGAAGAGGAGAGUGGAAUUCCUGGUGUAGCGGUGAAAUGCGUAGAUAUCAGGAGGAACACCUGUGGUGUAGACGGCUCUCUGGACCGCAACUGACGCUGAGACACGAAAGCGUGGGUAGCAAACAGG